This 473-nucleotide ribosomal RNA is filed under the name uncultured delta proteobacterium. RNAcentral describes it as "bacterial SSU rRNA". It matches the Rfam family "Bacterial small subunit ribosomal RNA", at positions 400 to 863 of the family's 1533-position model. Lineage: Bacteria; Deltaproteobacteria. The record is from RNAcentral.
CGUGAGUGAUGAAGGCUUUCGGGUCGUAAAGCUCUGUCAAGUGGGAAGAACCUGCUCGAUGUUAACACCAUCUAGCACUGACGGUACCACUAAAGGAAGCACCGGCUAACUCCGUGCCAGCAGCCGCGGUAAUACGGGGGGUGCAAGCGUUAUUCGGAUUUAUUGGGCGUAAAGGGCGCGUAGGCGGUCUCUAUAGUCAGAUGUGAAAGCCCGGGGCUUAACCCUGGAAGUGCAUUUGAAACUUAGGGACUUGAGUAUGGGAGAGGGAAGUGGAAUUCCUGGUGUAGCGGUGAAAUGCGUAGAUAUCAGGAGGAACACCAGUGGCGAAGGCGACUUCCUGGACCAAUACUGACGCUGAGGCGCGAAGGCGUGGGGAGCAAACAGGAUUAGAUACCCUGGUAGUCCACGCAGUAAACGGUGAACACUAGGUGUAGCGGGUAUUGACCCCUGCUGUGCCGCAGCUAACGCAUUAA